Molecule: ribosomal RNA, 304 nt
Filed under: uncultured bacterium
Lineage: Bacteria
Description: partial 16S ribosomal RNA
Rfam family: Bacterial small subunit ribosomal RNA
Source: RNAcentral
CAGCAGCAGCCGCGGUAAUACAGAGGGUGCGAGCGUUAAUCGGAUUUACUGGGCGUAAAGCGUGCGUAGGCGGCUUCUUAAGUCGGAUGUGAAAUCCCUGAGCUUAACUUAGGAAUUGCAUUCGAUACUGGGAAGUUAGAGUAUGGGAGAGGAUGGUAGAAUUCCAGGUGUAGCGGUGAAAUGCGUAGAGAUCUGGAGGAAUACCGAUGGCGAAGGCAGCCAUCUGGCCUAAUACUGACGCUGAGGUACGAAAGCAUGGGGAGCAAACAGGAUUAGAUACCCCGGUAGUCCCUGUCUCUUAUAA